RNAcentral lists this ribosomal RNA (478 nucleotides) under uncultured bacterium. RNAcentral describes it as "partial 16S ribosomal RNA". It matches the Rfam family "Bacterial small subunit ribosomal RNA", at positions 28 to 523 of the family's 1533-position model. The record is from RNAcentral.
GACGAACGCUGGCGGCGUGCUUAACACAUGCAAGUCGAACGGUAAGGCCCUUCGGGGUAUACGAGUGGCGAACGGGUGAGUAACACGUGGGUGAUCUGCCCUGCACUUCGGGAUAAGCCUGGGAAACUGGGUCUAAUACCGGAUAGGACCACUGCCUGCAUGGGUGGUGGUGGAAAGCUUUUGCGGUGUGGGAUGGGCCCGCGGCCUAUGAGCUUGUUGGUGGGGGGUUGGCCUACCAAGGCGACGACGGGUAGCCGGCCUGGGAGGGUAACCGGCCACACUGGGACUGAGAUACGGCCCAGACUCCUACGGGGGGCAGGAGUGGGGAAUAUUGCACAAUGGGCGCAAGCCUGAUGCAGCGACGCCGCAUGAGGGAUGACGGCCUUCGGGUUGUAAACCUCUUUCAGCACCGACGAAGCGCAAGUGACGGUAGGUGCAGAAGAAGGACCGGCCAACUACGUGCCAGCCGCCGCAGUAA